GCCUGUGGGUUGUAAACCUCUUUUCUCAAGGAAGAAGUUCUGACGGUACUUGAGGAAUAAGCAUCGGCUAACUCUGUGCCAGCAGCCGCGGUAAUACAGAGGAUGCAAGCGUUAUCCGGAAUCACUGGGCAUAAAGCGUCUGUAGGUUGCUUAUCAAGUCUGCUGUUAAAGACCAGGGCCUAACCCUGGGAAAGCAGUGGAAACUAGUAGGCUUGAGUGUGGUAGAGGUAGAGGGAAUUCCUGGUGUAGCGGUGAAAUGCGUAGAUAUUAGGAAGAACACCAAUGGCGAAAGCACUCUACUGGGCCAUAACUGACACUGAGAGACGACAGCUAGGGGAGCAAAUGGGAUUAGAUACCCCAGUAGUCCUAGCCGUAAA
Molecule: ribosomal RNA, 377 nt
Filed under: uncultured cyanobacterium
Lineage: Bacteria; Bacillati; Cyanobacteriota
Description: bacterial SSU rRNA
Rfam family: Bacterial small subunit ribosomal RNA
Source: RNAcentral